GAAGCGAAGCCGCGAGGUAGAGCAAAUCUCAAAAAGACAUCUCAGUUCAGAUUGCAGGCUGCAACUCGCCUGCAUGAAGUCGGAAUUGCUAGUAAUCGUAGGUCAGCAUACUACGGUGAAUACGGUUCCCGGGCCUUGUACACACCGCCCGUCAAACCAUGAGAGUUGGCAACACCCGAAGUCGGUAGUCUAACCGCAAGGAGGACGCCGCCGAAGGUGGGGUUGAUGAUUAGGGUUAAGUCGUAACAAGGUACC
This 255-nucleotide ribosomal RNA is filed under the name uncultured bacterium. RNAcentral describes it as "partial 16S ribosomal RNA". It matches the Rfam family "Bacterial small subunit ribosomal RNA", at positions 1246 to 1500 of the family's 1533-position model. The record is from RNAcentral.